This 253-nucleotide ribosomal RNA is filed under the name uncultured bacterium. Its description in RNAcentral is "partial 16S ribosomal RNA". It matches the Rfam family "Bacterial small subunit ribosomal RNA", at positions 524 to 776 of the family's 1533-position model. The record is from RNAcentral.
UACGAGUGCUUCAAGCGUUGUCCGGAAUCAUUGGGCGUAAAGAGCGUGUAGGCGGCCACUUAAGUCCUGCGUGAAAUCUUGCGGCUCAACCGCAAGCGGUCGUGGGAAACUGGGUGGCUAGAGUGCGGGAGAGGAGAGUGGAAUUCCUGGUGUAGCGGUGGAAUGCGCAGAUAUCAGGAAGAACACCCGUGGCGAAGGCGGCUCUCUGGAACGCAACUGACGCUGAGACGCGAAAGCGUGGGGAGCAAACAGG